UGGGUUAACAGAAGGGCUUUUGUCACUGC
RNAcentral lists this non-coding RNA (29 nucleotides) under Homo sapiens (human). Lineage: Eukaryota; Metazoa; Chordata; Mammalia; Primates; Hominidae. The record is from RNAcentral.